GCUAUCAGAUGCGAUAACGGCGAGUGUAUAUGCACCUGUUAUCACCAGCGCUACAAGAUGUAGGCGGACGCUACACGACGCUACGCGGCAAGUUGCGCUGGAAUCAUAUAUUGGAGUCUAGCGUGGCGUAUAACCGCGACAAUCGCGACGCUCGCUCCUGGAAAGUUUGUGAAUUGAGGAACUAGUGUGUGAGAGAGAGAGAGAGAGAGAGAGAGAGAGAGACUCGUGUAUUAGCCGAGCGACUUGAUGCAUAAAAUGUGGAGCCGUUGGCUGUGGCUGUCAACGACCGGUUGAGAGUUAGGUUAUCUCGCCGUGUGUGACGUUGAGGGAAUCAUGAAUGUCGCUCGUCGUCCUGCCUCGACACCUGUUAACGCCUGAAUCCUCCUCUCACUCCCGUGCACUUAUAUUUCGACCGAUGCAGGAACAAUAUGUGCGAGGCGCGCGCAGGGUCAGCUUCUACGUAUUUUCUGUGUUUUUAUGAUUUAAUGCGCCGUCAAGCUGAUAAUUGAGCAGACACGUAUUUUAUGUUGCGCACGUUGUGAAGCAACACUAUUAGAACAGAUCAAUCCAGAAUCGUUGCAUCGACCGAAAUGUUCGUUUGGUAACCGCUGUACAAUGGUGACUUUGUGUAGUGGAAAGGGGAAAGAUGUAUUGAACCAAUGCGUAAAUACAAUGCCAUAAGUAAGAGAGAUUCAGAAGUACAGGAUGAGUUGUUCUGUAGAAUUACGCCAGCGUAGGCAACAGGGGAUUGUGGAGGAUCCUCAUAGGCUAGCGGCGAUGAUGAAUAAAUCUCAAAGACUCAUAUUGGGUCUUUUAGUGCUGUUGUUAGUCGACAUAAUUUGGGUCUCCAGUUCUGAACUUACCAAAUAUAUUUACAGAGAGGCGGCAUUUGAAAAGCCAUUUUUUAGUACAUACGUAAGAACAUCUAUGUUUACACUUUAUUUGCUUGGCCUGUGCUUCUGGCCACCUUGGCGGGAACAAUGUAAUAAACCAGCCACAUACAUGUUUAUAGAUCCCAAUGUUGAGGAUGACAACUUCUAUUCGGAAGCUAAUACCAGUUUAAGCGAUCCAACGUUCGUUCCGAUAAAAACUCCGGAUCAUUGCGACCGUUCAUCGGGUACGGAAAGUGACGAUUCGUCUAUACGCUCUGUAAGAUUUAGUAAACUAGCGGAAGUGCGCCAUAUGUCGGAGAGUGACGCUACAGAGGCUCUAUUGGCGCGACUUAGUUACCAAGCUAGCGUCAGAGCCGGGGAACACGCGAGGCGGCAGGCAAACAAAUUCUCUGUACAAAAAGUGGCCAAAAUAGCUCUUAUGUUUUGUCUAUUUUGGUUCAUGGCAAAUUACACGUACCAAAUAUCGUUAGAGCAAACCGAAGCCAGAAUCGUCACUAUAUUAUCCUCGACGUCUAGUUUAUUCACUUUAUUUCUCGCGGCCUUCUUCCCCAGUAACGGAGGAGACAAGUUCACACUGUCCAAAUUGGCUGCUGUAGUCAUCAGCAUCUCUGGACUGGUAUUAGUCGGUCUUUCGGAUUUAAAUGUAAAAAGCAACAGCAUGUCAACGGGCAUAAUAUUAGCUCUAGUCAGUGCUUUUUUCUACGCCGCGUAUAUUGUAUUUUUGAAGAGGAAAGUAGAUCACGAGGACAAAAUGGAUAUACCAAUGUUCUUCGGCUUCGUGGGGAUAUUUAAUUUAACGCUUUUGUGGCCUUUAUUUUUUAUUCUACAUUACGGUCAUUGGGAAGAAUUCGAGUGGCCCAAUAGCCAUCAGUGGACGUUUCUAAUUAUAAACGGCCUGAUCGGUACGGUCCUAGGCGAAGUCCUUUGGCUAUGGGGUUGUUUUCUAACGUCGUCUCUCGUAGCAACAUUAGCCGGAGCAUUCCAAUGCUUUUAGCAUUUCUGACAGUAUCUCUCUUAUCUUACUACGAUAAUUGGGAUCCUGUUAUGGAUCUGAUGAAACGAUUUUAUAUUUGGAUUUGCAGAAGAAACAACAGAUCAACAAGGAUUCCGGAUCUCGAGGCAGAACAGACGGAAUCUUUGAUAGGGAUAGACAGUGGUGAUCAUGAAGCUUAGCGAGACAAUAAUGAGAGAAUCAAGAACACGGUAAAAAACAUCUCGUAUUGUAUAUAUAUAUAUAUAUAUAUAUAUAUGUACUAAAUAUAACAAUACACACACACAC
This 2172-nucleotide unclassified non-coding RNA is filed under the name Harpegnathos saltator (Jerdon's jumping ant). RNAcentral describes it as "solute carrier family 35 member F5, transcript variant X1". Lineage: Eukaryota; Metazoa; Arthropoda; Insecta; Hymenoptera; Formicidae. The record is from RNAcentral.